RNAcentral lists this ribosomal RNA (400 nucleotides) under uncultured bacterium. RNAcentral's name for it is "bacterial SSU rRNA". It matches the Rfam family "Bacterial small subunit ribosomal RNA", at positions 359 to 776 of the family's 1533-position model. The record is from RNAcentral.
GAAUUUUCCACAAUGGGCGAAAGCCUGAUCCAGCCAUGCCGCGUGAGCGAUGAAGGCCCUAGGGUUGUAAAGCUCUUUCACCCGCGAAGAUAAUGACGGUAGCGGGAGAAGAAGCCCCGGCUAACCCCGUGCCAGCAGCCGCGGUAAUACGGAGGGGGCUAGCGUUGUUCGGAAUUACUGGGCGUAAAGCGCGCGUACGCGGAUGUUCAAGUCGGGGGUGAAAUCCCGGGGCUCAACCCCGGAACUGCCUCCGAUACUGGACGUCUGGAGGACGGGAGAGGCGAGUGGAAUGCCGAGUGUAGAGGUGAAAUUCGUAGAUAUUCGGCGGAACACCCGUGGCGAAGGCGGCUCGCUGGUCCGUUUCUGACGCUGAGGCGCGAAAGCGUGGGGAGCAAACAGG